This 484-nucleotide ribosomal RNA is filed under the name uncultured bacterium. RNAcentral describes it as "partial 16S ribosomal RNA". It matches the Rfam family "Bacterial small subunit ribosomal RNA", at positions 28 to 507 of the family's 1533-position model. The record is from RNAcentral.
AUUGAACGCUGGCGGCAUGCUUUACACAUGCAAGUCGAACGGCAGCGCGGGCUUCGGCCUGGCGGCGAGUGGCCAACUGGUGAGUAAUGCAUCGGAACGUGCCCAGUAGUUGGGGCUAGCCCGGCGAAAGCCGGAUUAAUACCGCAUACCACCUGAGGGUGAACGCGGGGGACCGAAAGGCCUCGCGCUCUUGGAGCGGCCGAUGUCGGAUUAGCUAGUUGGUGGGGUAAAGGCUUACCAAGGCGACGAUCCGUAGCUGGUCUGAGAGGACGACCAGCCACACUGGGACUGAGACACGGCCCAGACUCCUACGGGAGGCAGCAGUGGGGAAUUUUGGACAAUGGGGGCAACCCUGAUCCAGCCAUGCCGCGUGCGGGAAGAAGGCCUUCGGGUUGUAAACCGCUUUUGUUCGGGAAGAAAUCCUCUGGGCUAAUACCCCGGGGGGAUGACGGUACCGGAAGAAUAAGCACCGGCUAACUACGUG